RNAcentral lists this ribosomal RNA (1968 nucleotides) under human gut metagenome. Its description in RNAcentral is "bacterial LSU rRNA". It matches the Rfam family "Bacterial large subunit ribosomal RNA", at positions 1 to 1983 of the family's 2925-position model. The record is from RNAcentral.
GUAAAUAAUUAAGGGCGUAUGGUGGAUGCCUAGGCUCUCAGAGGCGAUGAAGGACGUGAUAAGCUGCGAAAAGCUCCGUUUAGGUGCAAAUAACCUUUGAUGCGGAGAUCUCCGAAUGGGAUAACCCAAUAUGUUGAAGACAUAUUAUACCGUAAGGUAGGCAAACGCAGGGAACUGAAACAUCUAAGUACCUGCAGGAGAAGAAAACAAAAGUGAUUCCCCCAGUAGCGGCGAGCGACCGGGGAUAAGCCCAAACCGUUAUUGUUUCGGCAGUAGCGGGGUAGUAGGACUGCGACAUUGAUGAAAUAAAUGAAAUGGAACACUUUGGAAAAUGUGAUCACAGAGGGUGAUAAUCCCGUACAUGCAAGUUUAUGAAUCAUAGCAGUAUCCUGAGUAAGUCGGGACACGUGUAAUCCUGACCGAAUCCGCCGGGACCAUCCGGCAAGGCUAAAUACUCCUGAGAGACCGAUAGUGAACCAGUACCGUGAGGGAAAGGUGAAAAGCACUUCGAACAGAAGAGUGAAAUAGUCCCUGAACCCAUACGCCUACAAGCUGUCGGAGCCGCUUCGUGCGGUGACGGCGUGCCUUUUGCAUAAUGAGCCUACGAGUUACUCAUCACCAGCGAGGUUAAGUACUUCAGGUACGUAAGCCGAAGCGAAAGCGAGUCUGAAUAGGGCGUCAAGUUGGUGGUGGUAGACGCGAAACCUUAGUGAUCUACCCAUGGGCAGGGUGAAGGUUUGGUAACACAAACUGGAGGCCCGAACCGGUAAACGUUGAAAAGUUUUCGGAUGACCUGUGGGUAGGGGUGAAAGGCCAAUCAAACUGGGAAAUAGCUCGUACUCUCCGAAAUGCAUUUAGGUGCAGCCUCUGUUGUUUUGUUCUAGAGGUAGAGCUACUGAUUGGAUGCGAGGGCUUCACCGCCUAUCAAAUCCGGCCAAACUCCGAAUGCUAGAACAUGAAGACAGGGAGUGAGCCAGCGGGUGCUAAGGUCCGUUGACGAAAGAGGGAGAACUCAGACCAUCAGCUAAGGUCCCCAAUUAUAUGCUAAGUUGGAAUUAAAACGGGGUGGGACUGCUUAGACAGCUAGGAUGUUGGCUUGGAAGCAGCCAUUCAUUUAAAGAGUGCGUAACAGCUCACUAGUCGAGCGGUCCUGCAUGGAUAAUACGCGGGCAUAAGCAUAUAACCGAAGCUAUGGGAUUGUAGAUGAUACAAUCGGUAGGAGAGCAUUCCAUUCAGCAUAGAAGCAGUACCGUGAGGUAUUGUGGAGCGGAUGGAAAAGCAAAUGUAGGCAUAAGUAACGAUAAUGCGGGUGAGAACCCCGCACGCCGAAAGAUCAAGGAUUCCCCGGCAAUGUCAAUCAUCCGGGGGUAAGUCGGAUCCUAAGGGUAAGCCGAGUGGCGAUCCCGAUGGCAAACAGGUUAAUAUUCCUGUACUGAUCAUAACUGCGAUGCAGCGACGCAGAGGUGACACUGCUGCGUACUGACGGAAUAGUACGUUGAAACCCGUAUUCUUUGAUACCGGUAGUGAAGCACGCCGGUAGAGAUGAAAGGUGAUAGUACCGCAAUGCUUCGGUUGCGCGGAUAAUGCAGGUAAGCUGACUGCCAAGAAAACCUGCUAAGCUUCAGGUAAUGAUCAUCCGUACUGUAAACGGACACACGUGAUCAGGUAGAAAAUACUAAGGCGCUCGAGAGAUUCAUGGUUAAGGAACUAGGCAAAAUGGUCCUGUAACUUCGGGAUAAAGGACGCUCUUGUGAAAGAGCCGCAGAUAAUAGGCCCAGGCGACUGUUUACCAAAAACACAUGGCUAUGCUAAUUCGCAAGAAGAUGUAUAUGGCCUGACACCUGCCCGGUGCCGGAAGGUUAAGAGGAGAGCUCAGAGGUAACUCGAAGGUUUGAAUUGAAGCCCCGGUAAACGGCGGCCGUAACUAUAACGGUCCUAAGGUAGCGAAAUUCCUUGUCGGGUAAGUUC